GAUGAAGAACGUAGUGAAAUGCGAUAAGUAAUGUGAAUUGCAGAAUUCAGUGAAUCAUCGAAUCUUUGAACGCACAUUGCGCCCACCAGUAUUCUGGCGGGCAUGCCUGUUCGAGCGUCAUUUCAACCCUCAGGCCCCCAGUGCCUGGUGUUGGGGAUCGGCAGCAGGGCGUCAAGCCCGCCGGCCCCGAAAUCUAGUGGCGGUCUCGCUGUAGUCCUCCUCUGCGUAGUAGCACAACCUCGCAGUUGGAACGCGGCGGUGGCCAUGCCGUUAAACACCCCACUUCUGAAAGUUGACCUCGGAUCAGGUAGGAAUACCCGCUGAACUUAAGCAUAUCAAUAAGCGGAGGA
RNAcentral lists this unclassified non-coding RNA (350 nucleotides) under soil metagenome. RNAcentral's name for it is "partial contains 5.8S ribosomal RNA, internal transcribed spacer 2, and large subunit ribosomal RNA". The stretch from base 1 to 120 matches the Rfam family "5.8S ribosomal RNA", at positions 35 to 154 of the family's 154-position model. The record is from RNAcentral.